Molecule: long non-coding RNA, 514 nt
Filed under: Amborella trichopoda
Lineage: Eukaryota; Viridiplantae; Streptophyta; Magnoliopsida; Amborellales; Amborellaceae
Description: long non-coding RNA (ATRI_LNC003785)
Source: RNAcentral
UCGAUUUUUAUUCUUUUGGAUUGAGAUUAUUAUAUAUUCUUUGCUGUACACGUUCUUUUUAAACUCGAAGUUUCCUUUUUAUUGUGAUAUUGGAAUCCAAUAUGUUUCAGGUGGUCAUCUGAUUACGUUAUACAGUCUCAUAUAUUUGUGAGCUAUUACGUUAUGCAAUCUAAUAAUAUCUAAGUCUCAAUUUAAACAUUUUACAUCUUGCCUAUUACUUUUACAGCUAAUCCAACACAGAUACCCUAAACUUCCUAAUCUUUCAGCAUGUUAUCAAACACAGGUACUUAGAACUUACUUAAUAUUCCAGGAGGUUUUCAAACACAGAACCCCAUGACUUCUUUAACAUUCCAACAAAUUAUCAAACAUAGAAAUCCAUAACUUUUUACAGUAACUCUUUUCUUCCCGACAAAUGUAACUUCCAAUUUACUGUUUAUAAUUUAACUUCCAGUUAUCAAAUAUACCUUUAGUUGUUAAUGACUGUGACUGAGUAGAACAAAAUACAAUAUAAUUG